UACGGAGGGCGCUAGCGUUGUUCGGAAUUACUGGGCGUAAAGCGCACGUAGGCGGCUUUGUAAGUUAGGGGUGAAAGCCCGGAGCUCAACUCCGGAAUUGCCUUUAAGACUGCAUCGCUUGAAUCCGGGAGAGGUGAGUGGAAUUCCGAGUGUAGAGGUGAAAUUCGUAGAUAUUCGGAAGAACACCAGUGGCGAAGGCGGCUCACUGGACCGGUAUUGACGCUGAGGUGCGAAAGCGUGGGGAGCAAACAGG
RNAcentral lists this ribosomal RNA (253 nucleotides) under uncultured bacterium. Its description in RNAcentral is "partial 16S ribosomal RNA". It matches the Rfam family "Bacterial small subunit ribosomal RNA", at positions 524 to 776 of the family's 1533-position model. The record is from RNAcentral.